UACGUAGGGUGCAGGCGUUAAUCGGAAUUACUGGGCGUAAAGCGUGCGCAGGCGGUUUGCUAAGACAGGUGUGAAAUCCCCAGGCUUAACCUGGGAACUGCGCUUGUUACUGGCAGGCUUGAGUGUGGCAGAGGGGGGUGGAAUUCCACGUGUAGCGGUGAAAUGCGUAGAGAUGUGGAGGAACACCAAUGGCGAAGGCAGCCUUCUGGGCCAACACUGACGCUCAUGCACGAAAGCGUGGGGAGCAGACAGG
Molecule: ribosomal RNA, 253 nt
Filed under: uncultured bacterium
Lineage: Bacteria
Description: partial 16S ribosomal RNA
Rfam family: Bacterial small subunit ribosomal RNA
Source: RNAcentral